RNAcentral lists this ribosomal RNA (919 nucleotides) under uncultured bacterium. RNAcentral's name for it is "bacterial SSU rRNA". It matches the Rfam family "Bacterial small subunit ribosomal RNA", at positions 1 to 916 of the family's 1533-position model. The record is from RNAcentral.
UAGAGUUUGAUCCUGGCUCAGGAUGAACGCUAGCUACAGGCUUAACACAUGCAAGUCGAGGGGAAACGAUAGAGAAAGCUUGCUUUUUCUAGGCGUCGACCGGCGCACGGGUGAGUAACGCGUAUCCAACCUGCCCACCACUUGGGGAUAACCUUGCGAAAGUAAGACUAAUACCCAAUGAUAUCUCUAGAAGACAUCUGAAAGAGAUUAAAGAUUUAUCGGUGAUGGAUGGGGAUGCGUCUGAUUAGCUUGUUGGCGGGGUAACGGCCCACCAAGGCGACGAUCAGUAGGGGUUCUGAGAGGAAGGUCCCCCACAUUGGAACUGAGACACGGUCCAAACUCCUACGGGAGGCAGCAGUGAGGAAUAUUGGUCAAUGGGCGAGAGCCUGAACCAGCCAAGUAGCGUGCAGGAUGACGGCCCUAUGGGUUGUAAACUGCUUUUAUAAGGGAAUAAAGUGAGAGUCGUGACUCUUUUUGCAUGUACCUUAUGAAUAAGGACCGGCUAAUUCCGUGCCAGCAGCCGCGGUAAUACGGAAGGUCCGGGCGUUAUCCGGAUUUAUUGGGUUUAAAGGGAGCGUAGGCCGGAGAUUAAGCGUGUUGUGAAAUGUAGACGCUCAACGUCUGCACUGCAGCGCGAACUGGUUUCCUUGAGUACGCACAAAGUGGGCGGAAUUCGUGGUGUAGCGGUGAAAUGCUUAGAUAUCACGAAGAACUCCGAUUGCGAAGGCAGCUCACUGGAGCGCAACUGACGCUGAAGCUCGAAAGUGCGGGUAUCGAACAGGAUUAGAUACCCUGGUAGUCCGCACGGUAAACGAUGGAUGCCCGCUGUUGGUCUGAAUAGGUCAGCGGCCAAGCGAAAGCAUUAAGCAUCCCACCUGGGGAGUACGCCGGCAACGGUGAAACUCAAAGGAAUUGACGG